UUAUAGGUUCGUUGGCCUCACGGCGGG
RNAcentral lists this small RNA (27 nucleotides) under Bombyx mori (domestic silkworm). RNAcentral's name for it is "ovarian small RNA-36795". The record is from RNAcentral. Lineage: Eukaryota; Metazoa; Arthropoda; Insecta; Lepidoptera; Bombycidae.